ACGGUCUCCCCGGAAGAUGAGCCGGGUACCUAGGAAGGAUGUCUUCCCGACGAUGUCCUCCCAGCAGGAUUCUCUCCCCGGAGGACGCCUGCCCCGCAGUGAAUCCCCUCUUCCAGGAAUUCCAGGAUUUCUGUCCCCCAAGAGAAAUCCCCCCAGAGGAUGUCCCCAUCAGAAGAAUGUCCCUUGGAGGAUAAGCCCCGGAGGGGCCACGUGUCCACAGGGGCCUCUCUCCCUAAGCUGGGGUGCCGAGUCUUAUAUAACCAGGAUGACAUGGGCAAGCCGUGGCUUCCUUCACCUUUGCCGCCAUCUCUCAGUUGUAAGAAGGCACUUAGGGGAGAGGACCACACGAAGCCUGGACCACCGGGAGGGUCACCCUGGGGACUGUUCAACACAGCUGAUGCCAGUUCAGCGCCUCCUCAGGGCCCUCUCUCUAAGCACUGGCAGAUAUGGGGCAACACAAAGUCACUUUCACCUGCCAUUUCCCAGCACCGCGGGUCCCUUGCUCAUCCACCUUUGACAUCUGCUGGCAGAUACACGGCAAGGUUGGUGACCUCUUGAAAUAAAAAUCAGGAGUGGCCA
Molecule: long non-coding RNA, 579 nt
Organism: Gorilla gorilla gorilla (western lowland gorilla)
Lineage: Eukaryota; Metazoa; Chordata; Mammalia; Primates; Hominidae
Exons: 2
Source: RefSeq, a predicted model, not a curated record